UCUAUUUGCAAAUGCCAUUAAUAUCAGAUAUAUUUUCAAUGGCAAAAUAAGUGUUUUGUUUGAGGAAUCUUGGAGUGUUAUGAUUCAAACCAACUGAGGAGCUGUUUCUGCAAGGACAGGACGUACUCCUGGACGGUGAUAGCGACUCCGACUGGGAGGCCCCGGUGCCAAGCUGCCCGCUCUACCUGUGCCCCCAAUGGUGUUCAUAUGUCACAGUUCAUUACUGCAGGCAUGACUGUGCCUCAGGGCCAAAAGGGCACAGCAUGGAGGCGUCGUUGUGUUCUGUGUCGCAUGAAAUGCACCACUUGUUCAGUUUGCCUCUGCUUUACAUCAGAAAGAGACUGCUAUGGGACAGGGCACAGGCAGCAAAAUACUGUGACGAGGAGUAUACUGUUUUUAAAAAAAUAUAUAUUUAUUUUCUAAUAUUUUUUUAAACAUUUUUUUUUGUGUGUGUGUUAUUUGCACUGCUGUAUAUAGUUAUAGGUCAUUUCACCAAUUCAGCCACUUGGGUACAUUUGGGCAACUUGUGUGGGACACCUGGGUGACUUCAUGCUAAAUGUCAUGUAGCUCACCCAUUCCUGAAGUUAUCAGUCUGAAACUUUGCACACAUACAGUUGCCCUCUUGUGUUAUCCAUCAAAAUUAUCUCCAGCAUCCUAUUCUAGUACAUGUGAAAGAUGAUACUACAACAAUAAAAAACAGAAAACGUA
Long non-coding RNA from Oncorhynchus nerka (sockeye salmon), 708 nucleotides. RefSeq lists it as uncharacterized. NCBI's taxonomy places the organism in Eukaryota, Metazoa, Chordata, Actinopteri, Salmoniformes, Salmonidae. The transcript has 2 exons. The record is from RefSeq and is a predicted model, not a curated record.